AUGACGGCCACUGCCGGCGAGGGCGACCCAGUGGUCGGCCGUGACGACGAGAUCGACCGCGUCGUCCGCAUCCUCUGCCGCAGGACCAAGAACUGCGCCGCGCUCGUCGGAGCAGCGGGCCGUGUUGCCGCCGGUAAGGUUCCUGCGCCGCUUGUCGGAGCGCGGGUCAUAGAGCUUAACGUCGCUGGCUUGGUAGCGGGGACCGUCUGGCGCGGCAUGUUCGAGGAGCGCAUGAAGAACGUGAUACAGCAGGCGGAGGAAGCCAAAGGCAAGGUGAUACUGUUCAUCAACGAGAUGCACAUGCUUCUCGGUGCCGGCAGGUGCGAGGGCGGCCGCGUUGAUGCCGCCAACAUGCUGAAGCCGGCGCUGGCCCGUGGGCGCAUCCGCUGCGUCGGCGCCACCACGUUAGACGAGUACAGCCAGCACAUCGACAAGGAUGCCGCGCUCGAGCGUCGGUUCCAGAAGGUGCAUGUGGAUGAGCCGAGCGAGCAGGCGACCGUUGGCAUCCUCAGGGGUCUAAAGAAGCGUUUCGAAGAGCACCAUGGCAUCAAAAUUCAGGAUGCUGCAGUUGUUGCUGCGGCGCAGCUCGCUGGCCGCUAUGUCACCGGCCGACAAUUUCCUGAUAAGGCAAUUGAUCUAAUUGAUGAAGCUUGCACAACAACGAAAGGAGGACAAGCAAUUGUUAGCCCGGAUCAUGUCGCAGAGGUCGUGAGCCGAUGGACUGGAAUUCCUGUCGCGGCACUUGAUUCGGAUGAGACGGAAAAGCUAAUCCAUCUUGCAGAUAGAUUGCACGAACGAGUUGUUGGUCAGAAUCAAGCUGUCAAAUUAGUUGUGCAAGCAGUGUUACGUUCGAGGGCAGGUCUUGAUCCACCUGGACAACCAAUAGGUUCUUUCCUUUUCUUGGGCUCGACCGGGGUUGGAAAGACAGAGCUUGCAAAAGCUCUAGCCGAACAGUUGUUUGACAAUGAAAAGAUGUUGCUUCGAUUUGAUAUGUCGGAAUACGUCAAUUCUGGAUCUGUGAUGCGCCUCAUUGGAGCACCCCCAAGUUAUCAUGGUUACCAUGAUGGUGGACAAUUGACUGAGAAAGUCCGGAGCCGUCCAUACUGUGUCAUCCUCUUUGAUGAAGUGGAGAAGGCCGAUCCCUCGGUAUUAAAUGUAUUUCUUCAGCUACUUGAUGAUGGUGUCUUGACUGAUGGCAAAGGUCGUAAGGUAGAUUUCAAGAACACGGUCAUCAUUAUGACCUCAAAUCUAGGUGCAGAGCACCAAAUUGCAGGAAUUCGGGGUGAAAACACAAUGAAAGAUGCACGAGACCUUCUAAUGAAAAAGGUACAUCAAUAUUUCAAGCCAGAGCUUCUGAACAGGUUAAGCCAGAUUGUUGUGUUUGACCCACUUUCGCAUGAUCAACUAAUGGAGGUUGUGAAAAUCCAAAUGAAGAGCGCCACCACCAGAGUAGCAAAAAAGGGCAUAUCUUUAUCUGUGAGUGACGGCGCAUUGGACGUCAUUUUGUCGGAGUCAUACAACCCAAUGUAUGGUGCAAGGCCCAUAAGAAGCUGGGUACAGAAUAAUGUGAUGACGGUGAUCUCGGAGAUGCUUGUCAAAAAGGAAGCUAGCAAGGGCUCGACAAUCUUCAUCGAUGUUGCAGACAACAAGAAGGGCCUGAAGUAUGAUGUGGUGAAUGAGGAGGUAGCCGAUGCACGUGAGGUGUCAACUCCCACGGUGAUGAUUUGA
RNAcentral lists this ribosomal RNA (1728 nucleotides) under Triticum aestivum (bread wheat). RNAcentral's name for it is "partial small subunit ribosomal RNA". The record is from RNAcentral. Lineage: Eukaryota; Viridiplantae; Streptophyta; Magnoliopsida; Poales; Poaceae.